GCCGACAAAGCUCAACAGGAAGAGCACAUCUCUUGUAAAGAUGGGGGUUUCGGUUCGAAUCCGAAUGUCGGCUCCA
Molecule: transfer RNA, 76 nt
Filed under: Cloacimonas sp. (SeqCode)
Lineage: Bacteria; Pseudomonadati; Candidatus Cloacimonadota; Cloacimonadia (SeqCode); Cloacimonadales (SeqCode); Cloacimonadaceae (SeqCode)
Description: tRNA-Thr
Rfam family: tRNA
About the family: Transfer RNA (tRNA) molecules are approximately 80 nucleotides in length. Their secondary structure includes four short double-helical elements and three loops (D, anti-codon, and T loops). Further hydrogen bonds mediate the characteristic L-shaped molecular structure. tRNAs have two regions of fundamental functional importance: the anti-codon, which is responsible for specific mRNA codon recognition, and the 3' end, to which the tRNAs corresponding amino acid is attached (by aminoacyl-tRNA synthetases). tRNAs cope with the degeneracy of the genetic code in two manners: having more than one tRNA (with a specific anti-codon) for a particular amino acid; and 'wobble' base-pairing, i.e. permitting non-standard base-pairing at the 3rd anti-codon position.
Source: RNAcentral